Trifolium pratense (red clover) is the source of this 488-nucleotide long non-coding RNA. RefSeq lists it as uncharacterized. The transcript is spliced from 3 exons. The record is from RefSeq and is a predicted model, not a curated record. Lineage: Eukaryota; Viridiplantae; Streptophyta; Magnoliopsida; Fabales; Fabaceae.
GGGAUUUUCACACCAUAAAAUGAUCAAAAAAAUUUCUAAUUUUUCAUGCAAAAAGCAAGGAAAAAUAUGGUUGUAUUACUCGAGUUUAUUUAUAUUUUGAUUAUUUAUCUUUUCUUAUUUAUCAUUGUAACCAACGGGGUUUCUUUAUGCUCUACCGAUAAAGAUUGUCUUCAUGUUAUAUGUUACGCUCAAUCAAUUCCAAAGUGUAUAAAGCACAUUUGCAAAUGUGUUCACAUAAGUUAUGUUCAUCAAUAGCUACAUGGUCUUAAUGCAUGAAUAAAACGAAAAGUGUACAAUUGAUGCAAGUUAUGAUGACUUAUUGGCCAAGGUUUCAUUUGAUGAUAGUGGACAUUCCUUGAUGACGAAUAAGUGAAAAAUCAAUGACUCGUGCUUAAUUUCGUAGCAUUAAGCAAAGAAAACCGUCACCAAAGGCUUGGAUUAACUACUCCUCAAACUAAUUAAUGUCUUAUUCUAAAUUCUAAUUAUUA